GUAGGUGAACCUGCGGAAGGAUCAUUAACACGUUUUUAACGUCUCCAAACAACCCCGUGAACUUGUAUUCCUCCCUCUUCAACGUAUGGUGUACAUAGCAAUAUAAUGCCCUGUCUGUGGACAAAACAAUUGGAGAACAUUUGAGUUUUGGCUCGAUGCUGAUCCUUGGGGCAGCUAAUAACGCUUGGUGGCCUUUGAGCCGUCGCAUACGUCGUCGUAGGCAUUUUCCCAUCCACACACAUUCUAACACAUUUCCGUCCAUCCUCUAUCAGUGACUUAAUUGACACUCGUAUGAUGCACUGGCCAUUUGACUAAUGCUGAUCCGUCUGGACUGAGAUCUCGGUCUUGGACCCAGUACUGAUCUGAGUUAUGUAACUAAGCACAACUCUUAGCAACGGAUAUCUUGGUUCUC
RNAcentral lists this unclassified non-coding RNA (412 nucleotides) under rhizosphere metagenome. RNAcentral describes it as "partial ribosomal RNA internal transcribed spacer region". The record is from RNAcentral.